UGGAUUGUGGCUCAGUGGUAGAGUGCUCGCCUAGCAUGUGUGGGGCCCUGGGUUCGAUCCUCAGCACCACAU
Molecule: transfer RNA, 72 nt
Filed under: Ictidomys tridecemlineatus (thirteen-lined ground squirrel)
Lineage: Eukaryota; Metazoa; Chordata; Mammalia; Rodentia; Sciuridae
Description: Spermophilus tridecemlineatus (thirteen-lined ground squirrel) tRNA
Rfam family: tRNA
About the family: Transfer RNA (tRNA) molecules are approximately 80 nucleotides in length.
Source: Rfam by way of RNAcentral